GCUGGGUGCAGUGGCCCAUGCCUGUAAUCCCAGCAACUCCAGAGGCUGAGGCAGGAGGAUCAAGAGUUCAAAGCCAGCCUCAGCAAAAAAUAGAGGUGCUAAGUAACUCAGUGAGACCCUGUCUCUA
RNAcentral lists this small RNA (127 nucleotides) under Marmota monax (woodchuck). Lineage: Eukaryota; Metazoa; Chordata; Mammalia; Rodentia; Sciuridae. The record is from RNAcentral.